CUCACCCACAUUACUGUUAUUGUUAUCUGAUUGGUGUAAAGCGUCUUGAGAAGGGCUAUAAAAAGUUGGGAUAUUUUGUGGGUUGAAUAAAAUACAACAAUGCCCCAGAGCAAUUUGAUUGGACGCUCAAAUGAGAGGAGCGUUUAAAGAGGAGGAUGCGUUUAAAGAGGAGGAUGCUAUUCAUGUGGCACAGCUUGAAGCUGGCAGGUGGAGAUGGGCCUGGCUGAAGUUGGAGUCGAAAACAAAAAAGCAACGAAAUGAGGCAAAUUAAAUUUGAAUCCUAAAUUUGUACAUCAUCAUGUACUUGAGUGGUGUCAAUAA
Long non-coding RNA from Phyllopteryx taeniolatus (common seadragon), 321 nucleotides. RefSeq lists it as uncharacterized. The record is from RefSeq and is a predicted model, not a curated record. Lineage: Eukaryota; Metazoa; Chordata; Actinopteri; Syngnathiformes; Syngnathidae. The transcript is spliced from 3 exons.